RNAcentral lists this ribosomal RNA (85 nucleotides) under Paenibacillus brasilensis. Its description in RNAcentral is "partial 16S ribosomal RNA". It matches the Rfam family "Bacterial small subunit ribosomal RNA", at positions 1 to 93 of the family's 1533-position model. Lineage: Bacteria; Bacillati; Bacillota; Bacilli; Caryophanales; Paenibacillaceae. The record is from RNAcentral.
UUAUUGGAGAGUUUGAUCCUGGCUCAGGACGAACGCUGGCGGCGUGCCUAAUACAUGCAAGUCGAGCGGGGUUCGUUAGAAGCUU